AUACGUAGGGGGCAAGCGUUGUUCGGAAUUACUGGGCGUAAAGCGCGUGUAGGCGGUCCGAUAAGUCGGAAGUGAAAGCCCUCGGCUCAACCGGGGAAUUGCUUACGAUACUGCCGGACUUGAGUGCCGGAGAGGGUGGCGGAAUUCCAGGUGUAGGAGUGAAAUCCGUAGAUAUCUGGAGGAACACCGGUGGCGAAGGCGGCCACCUGGCCGGCAACUGACGCUGAGGUGCGAAAGCGUGGGGAUC
Molecule: ribosomal RNA, 247 nt
Filed under: uncultured bacterium
Lineage: Bacteria
Description: partial 16S ribosomal RNA
Rfam family: Bacterial small subunit ribosomal RNA
Source: RNAcentral